GCUACAGCCAAAACCGCAGCUCACAACAGAUGCAGGUGGUGCGGGGCUCUCUUCUCCUGACACAGGCCACGCUGUCUUCAAUCAGAUAAGACAUAGGACGGAGCGCCAAGGGGAGAACAACACCUUUCCUGCUUGGACCACUGCAUGGACUCCGACUACACAUCCGCACCGGCCCCUCUCUUGACCCCUAUAAAAGCCCCGCCUCAGUCAGGACCAAAAGAAGCUGUGACGCUGCACAUCCGGACGGACAGAUGGGAGAUCUGCAUUCCAAGCCUGGCCCUGACUCACAGGCCGUCCUGGGGCCGGCAGGGUGAGAUGCACUCCUACAGUUAUGUAUGGGCAGGACAAAUACCUGACCAAGCAGGUCACGAGAGCCUGCCAGGUUGGGCGCACAGGGCCGUACACAAGGAUGGCCACUAUGGGAAGCCACACGGCACCUGCCCGUCCCUGCUCACCCACGGAGGACGCGGGCCUGUGGACGCAGGAGAAAAAGAGCUGGCACCCUCGGGCACGGCCCCUUGUCUGCCUGGGGACGAGGUCACCAGGUAACGGCGGCCUUCGUACUGCACCGUGGAGACCCCAGUGUGUUCAGACGACAGACUGUGAGGACAGACUAUUCGUCCGGGGCCAGGGGUGGAAAGACUGCCCUUCACGUCACCUCUACACACGACAGAGCAGUAUUGCGCGGACACGGUGAUGUCAGAGUGCGGCCUUCUAACUCGUACAAUGAGUAUGUGUUAACAGCUAUAGUAAAAUAUCGAUCCAAAUUUAAAGAACACUGAGUGGGUGACUCAGUGGGCUCAAGCGGCUGCCUGCAAGUACAAGGCUGCCUCCCACCGGGUGGCGCUGCAGUGCCCCAGGGAAGGGCGAGCCUUGUGGGCGGUGAGGGGACGCGGCCUGUCAUGGGCCGCCUUCUGGUUGCUGCGCUCUUUCCAAGCUCAGCCAUGUGAUGCUGUUACUACCGGAGAGCGGAUGUCCCCAACCCUGAUGGCUGGACUCCUCAGACAGGGAUCCCGCAGAAGGCCUGGUCUGGACUUGGUUCACGAAAGGGCCUUGGGGCGGUCACCGUAACAGCACGCCCACCCUGAUCUCGCAUUAGCAAUCCGCACCAGCCUCAGGCACAGAUGCCGGCACACUGGAAAGGACAGGCUGGUGCUGUGAGACAAACAGGAAAGCAAAUAAAUAAUAGCUACACAAACAAGGCAACCAGGCCGGUCUUGGCCUUUCAGUUUUAGCAAAGCUUCUUUAGAACAAUCAUGUCUGUGUUACAUGAACCAAGGGAUGGAAGGCACCACCAACGCAUUUGCACGGAGAGUCUGCGCAGGGGUCUCGGGAAGGCCAGAUGGGGGCCAGGGCUGCAGGACUGCAGAACCAUUUGGUUGUGGAGCAGUUUCCUGAGGCCUCAGUAAGAGUGCUGUAUAGGAGGGCGCACACAGGGAAGGAGAGACGGGAGAGGAAGGUUAUCUGAGCGUGAAACUCUGACUACUAGCAUGCUGGGCAACCGGAAAAGUAAGCACCUGGCCAGUGCCCUUGUUUCACAGGCCAGGCGGAGGCGCCUCCUGUGCCUCCCGGCUCUGUCCGGUGACCCUACUUCAUUGCGUCUUAGCCAGGUGCACUCAUGCACCAUGGACGUGGCUGAUCCUGGAGCUCUGUCUGUUUCUACCCCCUUGGGAUGAAUCGCAGUGGCAGAGGCUGCAGGGACCAUCGGGGAAGUGCACGUCCCAGUCUUCCCUAGACGGCUCAAUAGCAGGGGUCCUCGGCCACCCCAGGGCUUCCAUCAUGGGCUGUGAAAGUCCUUGUUGCUCCCUUCCUAGACAGCAUCAGGGUGGUGGCAGAGGCCUCAGUUGCUGGGUAUCUGCAGCUCCCCAAACUGUACCCACUCGCAAUGCUUCUGACUUACUCUCCUACAUGUCUCAGGGAGUCCUGUAAGUGUUCUUGCUGGUAAAGCUUUUUUUUUUUUUUUUUUUUUUUUUUUGGUGACUGGGGAUGGAACUCAGGUCCUUGAGCUUGGGAGGCAGGCGGUGGAACCACUGAGCUAAAUCCCCUGCUCUGAUACUCAUUUGUAAUGACAACCAAUUAGCGUGGACAAUGGGGCCAGAGGACUCAAAAAUCACCCUGCCUGCUGGGCGUGGUGGCACACGCCUGUCAUCCCAGCACUUGGGAGGCUGAGGCAGGAGGUUCGCUGUGAGUUCGAGACCAGCCUGGGCUACAUAGUGAGUUCCAGGUCAGUCUCAACUACACCGUGAGACCUGUCUCAAAACAAAACAAAACAAAACAUCACCCUGCCUGAGAAGCAGAAGUCAUGAGAUCCCAAAAUGACCAGCCCCACCAUUUAGUGGACAUGAAAAGCACUAGCCUAUGUGAGGCUCUGGGUUCGACCCUCAGCACUGAGAAAACAAAACACACACAAAAAAGACAGGGAUUUAGCUCAGUGGCACUGCGCCUGCCUCACCUAAGGUACUGAGUUUGAUCCCCGGUACCAAAACAAACAAAAAAACACUGUGCUUCCACUAAUGGUCCCGUUCGUGCGGCCAGAGCCCUUGCCCAGGGAGAGCCUGUGGCCAGGCCACAAGCAUGGCUUUCAGAGGAGGAGAGACAUGGCCAGCACCAGAGGCCCAGUGCCAGCUGGAGGCCUGCAAAGCACACAGUGCACAGGAUUCUCUCCAUUCUCCCACAGCAGCUCAGAAGCAGGAGCCCGCAGAAACCCUGCCCUGUUCUCCAAGCACACACACUCGGUGUGGCGUGACACUGGCACGGCAGAGGGGAGGAGUUUUCCAUUCUCGCUGGAUCUAGUCUUUCAACGCUUAGGCGCCUUCCACGGCUCUGCGUUCAUCUCUCACUUCCCUUUUCGGUCUACUGUGCCUCCAACACGAGUGCACCCCCACCUCCUGGGGAGCUGCUAAAGGAAACGGUCACCAAGUCACUGUCUAAAUCACAGCGUUAUUACCAAGGACAUGCGGGGACCCUUGCCUCCACCCAAGGCCCACACCAUAGUCAGAUGAUUUACAGACUGGAAACGCAAGCCCAGGAGGAGGAAGCAUAACAGGAACUUGGGGGAUUAUAAAUCCAGUUACUGCAGGGCGCUAGGAGGCCUUUAUAGGCCUUUUCCACCUCACAGAAUGUGACAACUGUGUCCUCUUCUAGGUCCAUCUUAGUCCAGAAAGAAUGGCCAUCAACAAGAAAGCAAAUAAUAACAAAUGCUGCUGGGCAUGGUGGUGCACUCCUGUAAUCCCAGGCACUCCAGAGGCAGAGUCAGGAGGAUUGCCGAGUUCCAGGCCAGCCUGAGCUACAAAAAAAAAAAAAAAAAAAAAAAAAA
This 3316-nucleotide long non-coding RNA is filed under the name Fukomys damarensis (Damara mole-rat). RNAcentral's name for it is "lncRNA (ENSFDAG00000030425.1)". The record is from RNAcentral. Lineage: Eukaryota; Metazoa; Chordata; Mammalia; Rodentia; Bathyergidae.